CUCUUCUUGUAUUGUUUAUGAAGUAUGACCUGCCCAAUGAAUAUUUGAAUGGCCGCGGUAUCUUGACCGUGCAAAGGUAGCAUAAUCAUUAGUCUUUUUAUUGGGGACUGGAAUGAAUGGUUUGACGAGAUAAAAUCUGUCUUUAUAUUAUUUAGUAGAAUUUAAUUUCUGAGUAAAAAAGCUUAGAUAUAAUUAUGGGACGAGAAGACCCUAUAGAGUUUAAAUAAUUAUAAUUUUAUUUAAAGGUAGUAUGUUUAUUAAUAUAGAUUAUAAUUAUUUGGUUGGGGUGAUUGGAAGAUAAUAAUAACUCUUCUUGAUUAAUAAAUACUAAUUGGUAUUACUUUGAUCCAUUAUUAAUGAUUAGAAGACUAAAUUACCUUAGGGAUAACAGCGUAAUCUUUUUUGAGAGUUCUAAUUGACAAUAAGGGUUGCGACCUCGAUGUUGGAUUAAGAUGUAUUCUGGGUGCAGAAGCUUGGAUAAAUAGGUCUGUUCGACCUUUAAAUUCUUACA
This 511-nucleotide ribosomal RNA is filed under the name Blaberus giganteus. Its description in RNAcentral is "partial 16S ribosomal RNA". It matches the Rfam family "Bacterial large subunit ribosomal RNA", at positions 1826 to 2600 of the family's 2925-position model. The record is from RNAcentral. Lineage: Eukaryota; Metazoa; Arthropoda; Insecta; Blattodea; Blaberidae.